This 527-nucleotide ribosomal RNA is filed under the name Campsosternus auratus. RNAcentral describes it as "partial 16S ribosomal RNA". It matches the Rfam family "Bacterial large subunit ribosomal RNA", at positions 1809 to 2608 of the family's 2925-position model. Lineage: Eukaryota; Metazoa; Arthropoda; Insecta; Coleoptera; Elateridae. The record is from RNAcentral.
AAAAACAUGUCUUUUUGAUUAUAAUUUAAGGUCUAAUCUGCUCAAUGAGGGUUUAAAUUGCCGCGGUAUUUUGACCGUGCAAAGGUAGCAUAAUAAUUAGUUUUUUUAUUGAAAGCUGGAAUGAAUGAUUGGACGAGGGAGCAGCUGUCUCUGGAAAAUUUAUUUUUGAAUUUAACUUUUGAGUAAAAAGGCUCAAAUUUAAUUUAAAGACGAGAAGACCCUAUAGAGUUUAAUAUUUUUAUUUAAUAAGAUGUUUUUGGGCUUAAAUUUUCUUAUUAGAUUUAUUAUUUAGUUGGGGUGACUUAAAGAUUAAAUUAACUCUUUAAAGUUUUAAUCAUUGAUAUGUGAAUUGUGAAUCUAGUUUUUCUAAAUAUAAGAUAAAUUACCUUAGGGAUAACAGCGUAAUUUUUUUUUAGAGUUCUUAUUGUAAAAAAAGUUUGCGACCUCGAUGUUGGAUUAAAAUUAAUUUUUGGUGCAGAAGCUAAAAAUAUAGGUCUGUUCGACCUUUAAAUUUUUACAUGAUCUGA